GUCAAUGGCGCGGUAUGUUUAUAGUCUUUGUUAUUGUGAAUUGUGAAGUUGGGAGUUGAGAGAAUUUGCUUUGAAUUGUAUUCAGAGCUGCAAAAUUUCGACAAUGACUUCAAGAAAGCGUUGCUACAAUGGAUGAAAACAUGCAAAACAGCAUAUGAUAUUAUUUUUCAUUUUAUUCGGCGCACUUUGUGGAUUUUUACCUGGUUCUUUAUUACAUGGCAAUGUUCAGUCGUCCAUAGAUCCAACACCGAAGGAAUAUGCAAUGUACGUGUCGUUUCUUGGUGAGAUUUGGGUGAGAGCUUUAAGACUUUUUGUUCUUCCUUUGAUUGUAUCCAGCCUGCUUUUGGCAGUCGCUGAAUUGGAGUCAAAACAGAGCGGAAAAUUGGGAAGAAGAACAUUGCUGUAUUGUCUUAUGACUACAAUGUUUGGGAAGUAAUUUGUUUAUUUGUAUUUAACCUGGAAAUGUUAACGUGAAAGAACCAGAACCGAACGAAGAAAAAGUUGAACCAAUACAUUCUGUGCUUGAUCUUACAAGAAUGUAAAUGCUUCGUUCGCAAAACUGUGCAAGUGUGGAGAUUUCCAAGUGUGGAGAUUUCCAAGUGUGUAGAUAACCCAUUCACCUUCACUAUUGUGAAACAAUAUUAAAUACAUUUAUGAUAUUAGUUGUAAAUACAUUUUAUUAUGUCAUAUGAACCAUACCAAAGAAAGCAAAGGUAAUGCUAGAAGAUCAUAAUAAGAACAUCUAGAUUUUAAAUGGAUAAGUUAAUCUGAAACGCAACCUUUACAACAAUGACCUUGAAAUAUAAAAAUUGCAAUAAACCUUCCACACUCUACUCAUCACACACUCAAUUUCACAUCUCUUUGAGACAGUGAGUGGAAGGUUUAUUGAAAUUUUUGAAUUUCAAAGUCAAAAAGAUCUUUAUUCCUUUUGAAUUUUAAAACUGCUUUAUAUUUAUGCCAAAAGUUUGCUGAGAUUUUGUUUACGAUUGUAACAUGUGACAGCCUGGGUUAUAUGUUUAUUAACAUAAAUAUCAGUCAGCCAAGCUUUUUUGAAACCAUUAUGAAUCAACAUUAACAUCAUCUGACGUCGUACAUGAACUGUUCUUAACCAAUAGAACUAUACCUCAUAUGCAUCAUGUCAUUUUAACUUUUAAAUAUGUUUAUGUGAAGAUUUCAAUUGUAGAAUGAUUAUUAUAUAUACUACUGAACAUUGUGUACAACAAGACAACUGUCAAUAAAUGAGUUGUCAAGGAAAAUGAACCUUAAGAACCAAGAAUAGCACAAAGCUUUGUUUUACACCACUGUAUAUGACAGAUCAUUCUCAUUGAAAUGCAUCAAAUUGCAAUAUUGCUACAUAAACACAAUGAGGAUGAACAUUUUGAUGUUCACGAAAACAAGAUUUAAUUAUUUAUAGAUGUUCCAAAUGUGCACAGCAAUGUAAUUAUAUCUUACAAUAGCUGCACCAGGCCUAAAUAACAUACAAUAAUAAAAAAUCUUUUGAAAAUUUCA
Molecule: long non-coding RNA, 1509 nt
Organism: Xenia sp. Carnegie-2017
Lineage: Eukaryota; Metazoa; Cnidaria; Anthozoa; Malacalcyonacea; Xeniidae
Exons: 2
Source: RefSeq, a predicted model, not a curated record